AUAAGAAAAUAUUCCAAAGAAAAAAUCAACAUUCUCCGCACUAUAUUUCCCCAAAUCAUCGAUAGUGAUAUAAUUUGUGGGUCCAUAUUAAGUGUACUAUCUCAAGUCAUCAUUUUAUAUGUACAAUCCCGUGCAAAAAGACACACCUAAACAUAUAGGAUCUCAGUUGGUGAAUGUUAUUAAGUUUAACCAUCAUACAACAAAAGUAAUUCAUCAGCUUAAAUAAACACUUCUCAACAUCAAUGUUAGGUUCAUACGCACUUCUUGCAUUUAGGCAUUACAAAUGUGUCUUAGCUUUCAUUACCAAGAAACAAAACUGUAUACUGUAAUGCAUAUAGUCAUUUUGCCCUUAAAAUUUUCAAGAAUUACAAAUGUGUACUAUACGUGCUAUCCUAUAUGUGUAUGCGUUCACAUCAUAUAUCAAAACUGUAUAUUAUAAAUUUGUAAUGCAAAUAGUUAUUUUUGCAAAUUAUACUCUAAAUGGAUAUUAUGUUAAGUUUCUCAUCUAAAUCUAUUGUUUUUUUUAAUAGUACAGAUAGGGAUGUUAAGAUGGGUUUAGGUUCGCGAGCUUUUAAUGGGUUCUGAAAAAAAUAAAUGUCCAUUUAGACCCAUUUAGCUAGUCGGGUUUUAAAUGGAUAACCCUUUUAAGACCCAUUUAUUAAAUGGGUUUUCGCUAAAAUAAACGGGAACCCGUUUAACCCAUUAAUGUUUUUUUUUUGUAUUUUAAACGUUGUCGUUUGGUUCCUUAAGGGCCUUCAGUUUUUUUUUGUUUCCAUUUUCAUCUUCUCCUUCGUCGAUCAAAUCGCCUCCGAUCUCCACCGCCUCUCAACUUCUGAAACUUCCGGUGAAGCGUAAUCUCCACCGCUUCAACUUCUGAAACCCAUAGUCUCCACUCAAGUUCCAAUCAAGUUCCGAUCAAGUUCCGUUUCUGAAGCCCACUCCCAACUCGAGAUCGAAAAGGAAGAGCUGAGGAAAGUGUUUGCUAGACAUACUGCUCGGGUUUGCUUUACUUCUGAUCUUUGGACAUCUCGUCCUAAUAGCAUGGGAUAUAUAUGUCUUACUGCCCACUUCAUAGAUGAUGGCUGGAACUUGCAGAGUAAGAUUCUUGCUUUCUGCGAUUUGAAGCCUCCACACACAGGAGAAGAGAUUGCUAACAAGAUUCUGGAGUGUAUGAUGGAAUGGGGUUUAGAGAAGAAGGUAUUCUCUAUUACUUUAGACAAUGCUAAUAAUAACGACAGUAUGCAGAGGAUCCUCAAGGGACAGCUUCAGAUGAUGAGUGGUUAUGGCUUAUUGUUGGAUGGCAAGUGUUUACAUGUGAGAUGUUGUGCGCACAUCCUGAACUUGAUAGUGAAAGCUUAUGAGAGAAUGGAUCCUUCUACUUCUAGUUUAAAAACUGAAAAGCUGAGGACUAAUUUGACUAAACUUUAUAAAGAGUAUCAAGCCAGGACUUGGGGCAGUUCUUCUGGUACUUCAUCUACACCAGCUCCACAUGAUCUUGUUACUGAAUCACCUCUUGAAGAUGAUUUAGACAAUGUAAGUUUCAAGCAUCUUUACUCUUAUUUUGCAUUUACUUUGAAGAUGAUUUAGACAAUGUAAUAUAUUACAUGAUCUCUUUGAAUUGGAAAGAAGCCUUGGGAGUAAUGUAGGAAACACAAGAACACAUUUAGAUGUGUAUCUGGAUGAGAAGAAGUUAGAUAGAAGGUCUUUUCGCAAUUUGGAUGUAUUAAGCUAUUGGAGGGAAAACCAAGCUCGAUUUGGUGAUUUGGCGAUGAUGGCACGCGAUAUACUGAGUAUCCCUAUCACCACAGUAGCAUCUUAUGAAAAGAUUCUGAAAACAUGAAACUACUAGUUGAGUUAUUAAUCCUAUGCCUUUAUUUUAGUUUAAAUAAAUCUCAGGCUGCUUCUCUUUGUAUAUAUAAACUUUUGAAUGGCUUGUGGAAAAGCACUGUGAUAUUGCUAGAAGAAACUUGCACACUUGUCUUGAAGAAGGUAAGCUGUAUAAGUUUUCAAUGCAGCAGACUCGACACUUUGCUUCUCCUUUUGGUGAGAUGAGGAUUUCGAAUUUUCGAUUGAGCUCUCAAUGUUAAGAGAGUAGUAGAGCGAGGUGCUAAAGCGACCUGAUGCACCCGCUCUAGACGAGUGAAGUGUAGAGAGACCCACUAGAGCAAGGUAUGACACCCACUCUGUACCAGAGCGACCUCUCGCAGCGAGAUAGCGUACCCGCUCUGGGCCCAACAUCCCGUCGACAACUUUCGAGAACCGGAGCGACCAGGACGGAGCGAGGUGGGUACAUCGCGCGUCAAAUCCAUGGAGUGUGAAGGAAGUCAGAGCGACGUCCCAGAGCGAGGUGGCGAUCCCGCUGUGAAGGUGGAGCGACCCACCAAAGCGGGGUCACGAACCCGCGCGCAAGAUUUAUAUUUGGUCGAUUUUUUCAUGUUUUGCUCGGCCUUCUCAGACUUUUUUUUGAGGCCCACUAGGUUUUUAGAAGUACUAUAAAUACUCUCUAAACUUAAAAUUAGGACUUAUCUGAUUAUCUAUCAAAUCAAAGACCAUUUUGGAGAAAAAGAUUGAAUCUUAAAUCCAUUUUCUUUGAGUUUGUUGAAUUAUCUUGAUCACUAAUACUACAUGAUUUGAAUUAGGACCCUUGAAAAGUCCAUUUCAUGAAAAAAAUUUGCUCUAAAAAAUACAUAUCAAAAGUUAUUGAUAAAUAAUUUAUUUGUUUAACUAAAUUUAGUUAGAGUUCAUAAGGUUAAAAAAUGAAAAAGGUAAUUAUGUUUGUAAAAUCAUUUUACAAACAUAAUUAAAACAAAAAAUAAAUAAAAGAAUCUGAUUUAAAUGGGUCUAAAUGGGUUUAAAUGGGUACAUUUAAAUUUCGCGGGUUCUAAAUGGGUACCUCUAAUAGGCCUAUUUUUAAAUGGGUCUAAACGGGUAUGAGUUCUAAAUGGGGUGGGUUCUAAAUGGGGCGGGUUGUACCAUUUUAACAUCCCUAAGUAUAGAUAUAACUAAAAUAUCUAAUACAAGGAGAAUAAAUGAUUUGUAUGAUAAAAUAUCGGGAAAACACAAUAUAUGAACACUAGGAAUAUUCUUCUAGGUUUAAGUUAAUAGCAAAGAUAGAUAUUAACUUUGGAAACAAUCUCAAUUUCAUUUAAAACAUGAUCAGAAAGUAGAAAAAUAUAUAAUGCUAGGGGUUGGCCCGCCCUACGGGCAGGUGAGUUUAUAAUGAAAUUAUUUUAUAUUAAAAUUAUUUUAUAUUAAAAUUAUUUUAAUUUUAUAGAACACUUGAAACUUCGAAUGUUUUAAUGUUUAUUUUGAAGUAGUUUAAUUGUUGUGUAUUGACCAUUGUGUGUGUUGUUGUUUCAUUUUUACCUGAUACUGUAUAUUACGGUGGAGCUCAGUUGUUUUGUUCUGUAAUAAAGCAAUGUGUGCGUUUGUUUGUGUGGUGCAGUGAUGAUGUUUUUAGUUAAUAGGUUGAAUGUGGUAUAGGGAUGAAUGUUUAUAUAACUUUGUAUAUGUUUUGGCAUUUAUUGUUUAGCAAGGAACUUGUCGAUAUAGCUUUAUGAAACUUGGUUAUGUGAGAGUGAUUGUGUAUAUUUUAUUGUGUAGUUAUGUGGUUCUGGUUGGGUAGUUACUGAGCUGCGUGAGAGUUUGUGGGAUGUAACUGGCUUGUGUAUGUUCGGAUCAUUUGUAACGUCUGACACAAUUAUUAGAGGAUGUGUAUAUGAGCAAUCAGCCGUUUUGUUUGUAUAUAACUACUUGAACAAAAUACCUACGAACAAUUGUUCUAGUUAUGUAUGAAUAUAUAAGAGUGAUGGAAUAACUUUGUUAGAGGAUUAAAGUAUUUAUUAACCGGCUGAAUGUGGAGAUUUUUUUGUGCGUAGCUAAGGAGAAUGACAUGUACCUUUCUGGUACUCGUAAUGUAGUUUAUAUGUAGCAUGUCAAUUGUCAUGCUUAUGCAGAUCACAUUAAUCAAUAUUCUACUUAAUGUUCAAAAUUUAACUGUGCUUUGUUAGUAAUGGAGGAUUAGGAUCUUAUUAUUUUAUUAGUACAAAUGACUGUGGAGGUUAACAUUUUGAAGAAAAAAAAAGAAAAAGAAAACAAAAUAGCUAUAAGCUUGGAAGUACUCAGGUUUCAUACUGCUUGGAAAUGUAAUUUAAAAACUAAUGCAACUUAAACGCACUCAUGUCCUGUAACUUAAUCUCCCCUUGUGCUUUGGAUGUUACUCACACUAUGCCUACUUGCCAGAACACCCAACUUCAUUCACAAUUUCCUCCUCGCUUGUCUCCCUUCCAUCAACAGAGGUGUGACUUGAAGCCGUGGCCUCACCUUCUCCACCUUCAACAUCAUCAUUUUCCACAGUCACCAUUUUUCACUGGAGUGAUCUUAAGUACUUCACCCCUACGCAACAGGUUUCCAUUAAAAAACACUUGGGCAUAGAUUUGAGUGUAUGAGAAGACAUCACAUAAAUAUUUAAGACAUGUAAAGAUUUUGAAACCUCCCGUAAGCAUUACUUUAAAAGAAAAUAAAGGUACACUAUUAGCUUAUACAUUCUUAUGCUCAUGGGGAUCAUCAUGCGUUGUGUACUCUUAGUCUUCAUUGUAAGUAGUCCUAAUGCCCUUUACGUGCCCAACAAUAUCUAUUGGAAAACAUUUACGCUAAGCUAGUAAGUGAGAAAUCAAAUAAAUGUUAUCAAAAUUAUUGGGUUUUGGAUUUAAAUUUGACCUGGUAAAUGAGUGUUUGUGUUGGCUAGUUCCAUUUAAUCCGGUGUACACUUAUUGAUGCUGAAUCAACGUCUAUGAGAAAAAAUUGAUUACUCAAAUAAAAUGUUACUCACAUAAAAGAAAAGGUCAAACCAAAUGUUGAAACUAACUAAUAAGUAGAACGUACCUUCGCCCGUCAAGAAGCAACAUACUAAUGCUACAUCGAGAGUAAAAGCUCUGGUAGAGUACAUAUCUAGGAGAAACCUGAAGCUAAAAGAAGUAAAUGAAUCUCUUCUGGUGUUAAUGGUGAGCCUCCUCUGUUUCUUAGCUCUCCAUCUCUGAACCGUGAGUCUUAGACUCUUCCUUGCCAAAUCACCUAAGACAAAGUGAAUGACUAAAAUAUGUUUGUGCAAACCUGCUCUAGAUCAUUAAGCAAAGACAUAUAUAUUUUAGUCAAAGAAGGCACUGAUGUUGAGAACUCUUUUAGUCUAGGUGAUGAAUUCAUUUCAAGAGAAGUAAACAUGAUCGCAGCAAUGAGAGAAGGUAAGAGAUAGAGUCACCUAAGGACUGUUUCUUGUAGUAAAUGAUACUGAUUAUUCAAUGGUUGAAUCUGAUGGUUGUUGUACGAUUAGAUGUUGGACUGCCUGAUUGCAGACGUUUUUUUUAUGAUGAAGAGUUCUAGUGAGGGCCAAAUCUGCAACUGUUUCAGACUCAGUGACUUAGAGACAAUCUAUUGAACAUAUCAAAUACGCAUAGUUUCUCAUGCCAAUCAAUAAAAUAGGAUCAUGAACAAACGAUAGAAAUAUUAAAAAUAUAUGAUUAUAAGGAACUAAUAGAUAUAGAUUUUACGCAAGAGGGAUCAGGUUGUGACAUGAUUCAAUGAUCACCAGCGAGAAUAUCAUAGAUGUUGUAUUGACGGGAGGCUCCUUUAAGUGGAGAUAUCUGCCGAAAAUACAUCUUCCCAUGGAAUAUGAGUGCCCAAAAGAUAAACUCAUAGUUCUCGAUAUACUGAGUGUGUUCAACAGAGAGAAAAAAUGACUUUGUUAAUAAAUAUACCAAAGAGAGUUCAAAUACAUAUUCUUUUUUUUUAUAGCCAGAAUAUAGAAUUCUAAAAAAAAAAAAAAAUUCUUUCAUCAUCGAUUCAUUUAAAUCAAAUGACCCAGAUGAAAAAACUAACCUGUAAAUCUCUAGAAAAUAUCAAAAGAAAAUCUCCAUGAAGCAUA
Long non-coding RNA from Brassica napus (rape), 5920 nucleotides. RefSeq lists it as uncharacterized. The record is from RefSeq and is a predicted model, not a curated record. The transcript has 2 exons. NCBI's taxonomy places the organism in Eukaryota, Viridiplantae, Streptophyta, Magnoliopsida, Brassicales, Brassicaceae.